RNAcentral lists this ribosomal RNA (995 nucleotides) under uncultured bacterium. Its description in RNAcentral is "bacterial SSU rRNA". It matches the Rfam family "Bacterial small subunit ribosomal RNA", at positions 28 to 1017 of the family's 1533-position model. The record is from RNAcentral.
AUUGAACGCUGGCGGCAGGCUUAACACAUGCAAGUCGAGCGGGGAUUGGGUGCUUGCACCUAAUCUUAGCGGCGGACGGGUGAGUAAUGCUUAGGAAUCUGCCUAUUAGUGGGGGACAACAUUCCGAAAGGAAUGCUAAUACCGCAUACGCCCUACGGGGGAAAGCAGGGGAUCUUCGGACCUUGCGCUAAUAGAUGAGCCUAAGUCAGAUUAGCUAGUUGGUGGGGUAAAGGCCUACCAAGGCGACGAUCUGUAGCGGGUCUGAGAGGAUGAUCCGCCACACUGGGACUGAGACACGGCCCAGACUCCUACGGGAGGCAGCAGUGGGGAAUAUUGGACAAUGGGCGAAAGCCUGAUCCAGCCAUGCCGCGUGUGUGAAGAAGGCCUUUUGGUUGUAAAGCACUUUAAGCGAGGAGGAGGCUACUUAGAUUAAUACUCUAGGAUAGUGGACGUUACUCGCAGAAUAAGCACCGGCUAACUCUGUGCCAGCAGCCGCGGUAAUACAGAGGGUGCGAGCGUUAAUCGGAUUUACUGGGCGUAAAGCGUGCGUAGGCGGCUUCUUAAGUCGGAUGUGAAAUCCCUGAGCUUAACUUAGGAAUUGCAUUCGAUACUGGGAAGCUAGAGUAUGGGAGAGGAUGGUAGAAUUCCAGGUGUAGCGGUGAAAUGCGUAGAGAUCUGGAGGAAUACCGAUGGCGAAGGCAGCCAUCUGGCCUAAUACUGACGCUGAGGUACGAAAGCAUGGGGAGCAAACAGGAUUAGAUACCCUGGUAGUCCAUGCCGUAAACGAUGUCUACUAGCCGUUGGGGCCUUUGAGGCUUUAGUGGCGCAGCUAACGCGAUAAGUAGACCGCCUGGGGAGUACGGUCGCAAGACUAAAACUCAAAUGAAUUGACGGGGGCCCGCACAAGCGGUGGAGCAUGUGGUUUAAUUCGAUGCAACGCGAAGAACCUUACCUGGUCUUGACAUAGUAAGAACUUUCCAGAGAUGGAUUGGUGC